UAAUACAGAGGGUGCGAGCGUUAAUCGGAUUUACUGGGCGUAAAGGGCGCGUAGGCGGUGAUGUGAGUGUGAUGUGAAAGCCCCGGGCUUAACCUGGGAAGUGCAUCGCAAACGACAUUGCUGGAGUAUAAGAGAGGGUGGCGGAAUUUCCGGUGUAGCGGUGAAAUGCGUAGAGAUCGGAAGGAACGUCAAUGGCGAAGGCAGCCACCUGGCUUAAUACUGACGCUGAGGCGCGAAAGCGUGGGGAUCAAACAGGAUUAGAUACCCUGGUAGUCCACGCUGUAAACGAUGAGGACUAGAUGUUGUUUGGGGAACCAAGCAGUAUCGAAGUUAACGCGAUAAGUCUUCCGCCUGGGAAGUACAGCCGCAAGGCUG
This 375-nucleotide ribosomal RNA is filed under the name uncultured bacterium. Its description in RNAcentral is "bacterial SSU rRNA". It matches the Rfam family "Bacterial small subunit ribosomal RNA", at positions 521 to 896 of the family's 1533-position model. The record is from RNAcentral.